Molecule: long non-coding RNA, 463 nt
Filed under: Physcomitrium patens
Lineage: Eukaryota; Viridiplantae; Streptophyta; Bryopsida; Funariales; Funariaceae
Description: long non-coding RNA (PPAT_LNC005946)
Source: RNAcentral
UAUUUGGAAACUCUCUUAUGUGUUUGUGUAUUACUUACUACUAUUCUUGUGUGUGUGUAUAUUACUUACUACUACUCAUGUGUGUAUGUUUAUUACUUACUACUAUUCUUGUUACUUUCUAAACAUUCUCAACACGAUAUCAACACAAGUCUUUUUUAAAUACUAUCAUAAUUUUUUUGCUUUAAUCUUGACUCUUCAAAUAUAUUGCUACUCUUGCUCGAAGAGCGACACGUGAUCUUGCUGUACUUCUUGUUGGCUCCUCACACAUUAGCUGCUUGCUUAGAGCACUUGCUUCACUCUAUGCCCUGCUUACUUAGAAUACUUGCUCCAACCUAGCCUCCUUGCUCCACCCUGCACUUAUUGCUGAACAGUAGCCAAAUUGUUGUCACUGCUUGCUAUCAAUCCUACCACUCAUAUCACCUUGCUGCCGUUGCUGACUACUAAUUGCCAUCGAAUAGCCGUC